Molecule: ribosomal RNA, 492 nt
Filed under: uncultured bacterium
Lineage: Bacteria
Description: partial 16S ribosomal RNA
Rfam family: Bacterial small subunit ribosomal RNA
Source: RNAcentral
AGUGAACGCUGGCGGUAGGCCUAACACAUGCAAGUCGAACGGCAGCACAGUAAGAGCUUGCUCUUACGGGUGGCGAGUGGCGGACGGGUGAGGAAUACAUCGGAAUCUACUUUUUCGUGGGGGCUAACGUAGGGAAACUUACGCUAAUACCGCAUACGACCUACGGGUGAAAGCAGGGGAUCUUCGGACCUUGCGCGAUUGAAUGAGCCGAUGUCGGAUUAGCUAGUUGGCGGGGUAAAGGCCCACCAAGGCGACGAUCCGUAGCUGGUCUGAGAGGAUGAUCAGCCACACUGGAACUGAGACACGGUCCAGACUCCUACGGGAGGCAGCAGUGGGGAAUAUUGGACAAUGGGCGCAAGCCUGGUCCAGCCAUACCGCGUGGGUGAAGAAGGCCUUCGGGUUGUAAAGCCCUUUUGUUGGGAAAGAAAAGCAGCAGGUUAAUACCCCGCUGUUCUGACGGUACCCAAAGAAUAAGCACCGGCUAACUUCGUG